CCUACGGGUGGCAGCAGUGAGGAAUAUUGGUCAAUGGCCGUAAGGCUGAACCAGCCAAGUCGCGUGAAGGAAGAUGGCCCUAUGGGUUGUAAACUUCUUUUAUAGGGGAAUAAAGUUAUCCACGUGUGCAUAUUGGCAUGUACCCUAUGAAUAAGAAUCGGCUAACUCCGUGCCAGCAGCCGCGGUAAUACGGAGGAUGCGAGCGUUAUCCGGAUUUAUUGGGUUUAAAGGGUGCGUAGGUGGUAUUUUAAGUCAGGGGUGAAAGUUUGUGGCUCAACCAUAAAAUUGCCGUUGAAACUGGAAGACUUGAGUGUGUUUGAGGUAGGCGGAAUGCGUGGUGUAGCGGUGAAAUGCAUAGAUAUCACGCAGAACUCCGAUUGCGAAGGCAGCUUACUAAGCCAUGACUGACACUGAUGCACGAAAGCGUGGGUAUCAAACAGGAUUAGAUACCCGAGUAGUC
Molecule: ribosomal RNA, 460 nt
Filed under: uncultured bacterium
Lineage: Bacteria
Description: partial 16S ribosomal RNA
Rfam family: Bacterial small subunit ribosomal RNA
Source: RNAcentral